RNAcentral lists this long non-coding RNA (841 nucleotides) under Homo sapiens (human). Its description in RNAcentral is "HSALNT0319823". The record is from RNAcentral. Lineage: Eukaryota; Metazoa; Chordata; Mammalia; Primates; Hominidae.
UUGAAAAUCUAAAACCCACAGAGUUCAAAGACCUUACUCAAAGUCAAAGAGCUAGUGGGUGGUCAAGCUUACAUUAAUUCUAGAUUUGUCUAGAUUGAUGGAUUCUGCAUUCUACCAUCUAAGAUUAAAAUUUGACUGGAAGAAUACUCUAGAUGUUCAGUCAAAAGCUAAAGGUUAAAAUUUGCAUGAAAUAACUCAUGAAUUCUAUUUCCAUUGUUUCAACUGAAAAUUAUUUGCAAAAUAAAUGUGCGUGUACAUUAUAAAUUUGAUUGGCAAUAUUGAUUUAAAACGGAGGUUAUCAAUAUUUUUUAAGUACAAGGUGUCAGAAUUGUAUUGAACUCCUAAAAGAAUAAACCCAAAAUAAGUUUUAAAAUAUGACCAAAAUUUGAUAUUAAAAUCACAGAAAAGAGUAAUAGAACCCUGGAUUGAGAAUAAAAAUGACUGUAUUCUGCCUUAGAAUGUACUCCUUUAAAUGAACAGUAAUUCCUUGAAGAAGUCUCUGUGCAUAUCUAAAUUUAAUUUUCUUCAUUGCACACUAAGCUUCUGAUAGUUGCUUUUGGGGAUCGAUGAAUCGCUUGAGAAUCUCUGAUUGGGCAAAAGGCCUAAGUGUCUAUAAGAAGCUGAGGAGCUGGAGUGGGAGCAGAAACGUCUGGCAGGGUGAAUGGAGCUGGAAGAAGUGGGAUUAAUCCAUAUGGUAAAGAAGAAAAUAUAGAUAUUUGGACCGAAGAGGUUAAAAAAGUCAAUGGAUGACACCAUUCUCUGAAGAGUCUCUCCCUAGAGGAGGAGCACACUUCUCACCAAAGUGACUUCAGGAUUGGACAUGUGACUUGCUUUAGAAAAG